This 1240-nucleotide long non-coding RNA is filed under the name Piliocolobus tephrosceles (Ugandan red Colobus). RNAcentral describes it as "lncRNA (ENSPTEG00000004675.1)". The record is from RNAcentral. Lineage: Eukaryota; Metazoa; Chordata; Mammalia; Primates; Cercopithecidae.
CUCUGAGGCCGUGGCAGGGCACAGAUCAUGAAGAACAGUUGAUCCCAGACCAAAGCCCACAUAGAACUGAGGAUGUGUAAAGGGUAUAUGACUGGCUCACUCCUUGGUUUAAAGCCACUUUAAUCUAGGACGUUGGGGAAACCAGAGAGCAUGUCGAUUCCAUUAAGGAAAGAAGAGAAAUGCUUAUGGAAACAGUACCACCUGCAUAUCCAUUGGCCUCCCCUUCCCGACCUCCACCCUGCUGUUACCCAUCAGUCAUCUGAAAGGAAGAUCCCACAGAGUUGACAGAGUCCUUUACAGAGAAGAUCGUCAUAUGCUCUCCGUAGGUUACCUGUCUAUUUAAGAAGCAAACCUCUCGUCACCUGCUGCGGAGCAUCUCGAUGUUAGAAACCACACCACUAUUUUUAGUGUGUGUCCUUGUGCUUCUGCACGAUGAGUCAGGGUUCUCUUUUUAAAAAUACUUGGCAUUCCUCAGAAGAAAGAUAAACACAUUUAAUGUUCUCAGUUGCUACUAUUCUAAUCACCAAGUCAAGAGUUGCUUCUUUUCUUAGCUGCCUCCAGUGCCACAGAACUAUCUGGGCCUCUUCCUCUACCCCGCCUCGUGUGAUCACUCCUUUCAAAAGCAGCAGCCAAAGCAGAUGCGAGGGAGAUGCACUGGUGCUCAUAAAUUCAAGGAGCUAAAAUGGCAACAGCUGUGGCAAUUUCAGGAUUUCAGCAGGUAAUCAAGUGCAAACUGGGGUGCUGUCAAGCAACCUGGUGCUGAGGGGGCAGAGCCAGGAUGGACCCGGAUUCUGGAUUUCCACCAUGUGCCUGGUGGAUACCAUGCGGAUGUGGAGCAGGCAAUGCUGGGUGCAAAUCCCCGCCAGGAACUGUUCAUCCUGAAAAAAACCUGCUGCACAUUGCCCUGGUCACCUCAACGAAAACCUUCAGCAUCUUGGGCUCCUCAACACGCUGGGCUUGCAUGAUCCGCACCACACUGUUUAUCUUACUCUUGACUACUUCUGCUGUGAGCCCUGGAUUCAAGUGUUCCACAUGCCCUCUCACCGCUACGUUUGGAUGAUUUUAAAGAGAUUUCUGUUUCAAAGAAAUGUAGGAAGAAGAACUUCACAGCCCCUUCGGUUGCAAUCUUACUUGGUGGUUAAGGUGAAUAUAACUUAGAUUGUGCAUAUCAUUAUUAGGGGAAUCUUCACUAACCUACGGAAGCAAUAAAGAAAUUGUAUCACACUGUCUUGAGCUUCUC